UGGGGAAUAUUGCACAAUGGGCGCAAGCCUGAUGCAGCAACGCCGCGUGAGGGAUGACGGCCUUCGGGUUGUAAACCUCUUUUAGUAGGGAAGAAGCGAAAGUGACGGUACCUGCAGAAAAAGCACCGGCUAACUACGUGCCAGCAGCCGCGGUAAUACGUAGGGUGCGAGCGUUGUCCGGAAUUAUUGGGCGUAAAGAGCUCGUAGGCGGUCUGUCGCGUCUGCUGUGAAAACCCGAGGCUCAACCUCGGGCCUGCAGUGGGUACGGGCAGACUAGAGUGCGGUAGGGGAGAAUGGAAUUCCUGGUGUAGCGGUGGAAUGCGCAGAUAUCAGGAGGAACACCGAUGGCGAAGGCAGUUCUCUGGGCCGUAACUGACGCUGAGGAGCGAAAGCGUGGGGAGCGAACAGGAUUAGAUACCCUGGUAGUCCACGCCGUAAACGUUGGGCGCUAGAUGUGGGGACCAUUCCACGGUUUCCGUGUCGCAGCUAACGCAUUAAGCGCCCCGCCUGGGGAGUACGGCCGCAAGGCUAAAACUUAAAUGAAUUGAC
This 549-nucleotide ribosomal RNA is filed under the name uncultured bacterium. RNAcentral's name for it is "partial 16S ribosomal RNA". It matches the Rfam family "Bacterial small subunit ribosomal RNA", at positions 355 to 914 of the family's 1533-position model. The record is from RNAcentral.